This 326-nucleotide ribosomal RNA is filed under the name uncultured Acidobacteriota bacterium. RNAcentral describes it as "bacterial SSU rRNA". It matches the Rfam family "Bacterial small subunit ribosomal RNA", at positions 32 to 351 of the family's 1533-position model. Lineage: Bacteria; Pseudomonadati; Acidobacteriota. The record is from RNAcentral.
AAUCAACGCUGGCGGCAUGCCUAACACAUGCAAGUCGAGCGAGAAAGUGUAGCAAUACAUGAGUAAAGCGGCGCACGGGUGAGUAACACGUGGAUAACCUGCCUCAAAGUGGGGAAUAACACCGGGAAACCGGUGCUAAUACCGCAUAUUCUGACGAGAUCUGUGGAUUUUUGUCAGGAAAGGAGCAAUUCGCUAUGAGAGGGGUCCGCGGCUGAUUAGCUAGUUGGUGAGGUAAUGGCUCACCAAGGCUUCGAUCAGUAGCCGGUCUGAGAGGACGGUCGGCCACACUGGAACUGAGACACGGUCCAGACUCCUACGGGAGGCAG